UACGUAGGGGGCGAGCGUUGUCCGGAAUGAUUGGGCGUAAAGGGCGCGUAGGCGGAUACAUAAGUCGGGCGUGAAAGGCACGGGCUCAACCCGUGUAAGCGUUCGAAACGGUGUGUCUUGAGUGCGGUAGAGGGAAGCGGAAUUUCUGGUGUAGCGGUGGAAUGCGUAGAUAUCAGAAGGAACACCGGUGGCGAAGGCGGCUUCCUGGACUGUACUGACGCUGAGGAGCGAAGGCGUGGGGAGCAAACAGG
Molecule: ribosomal RNA, 251 nt
Filed under: uncultured bacterium
Lineage: Bacteria
Description: partial 16S ribosomal RNA
Rfam family: Bacterial small subunit ribosomal RNA
Source: RNAcentral